GAUGAAGAACGCAGCGAAAUGCGAUACGUAAUGUGAAUUGCAGAAUUCAGUGAAUCAUCGAGUCUUUGAACGCACAUUGCGCCCCCUGGUAUUCCGGGGGGCAUGCCUGUCCGAGCGUCAUUGCUGCCCUCAAGCACGGCUUGUGUGUUGGGCCUCCGUCCUCCUCCCGGGGGACGGGCCCGAAAGGCAGCGGCGGCACCGCGUCCGGUCCUCGAGCGUAUGGGGCUUCGUCACCCGCUCUUGUAGGCCCGGCCGGCGCUUGCCGACACAUCAAUCUUUUUUCCAGGUUGACCUCGGAUCAGGUAGGGAUACCCGCUGAACUUAAGCAUAUCAAAAGCGGGGA
RNAcentral lists this unclassified non-coding RNA (343 nucleotides) under soil metagenome. RNAcentral's name for it is "partial contains 5.8S ribosomal RNA, internal transcribed spacer 2, and large subunit ribosomal RNA". The stretch from base 1 to 120 matches the Rfam family "5.8S ribosomal RNA", at positions 35 to 154 of the family's 154-position model. The record is from RNAcentral.